AAGAUGUUGAGUUCUUUAAAGGUGUGGAGGACAUUAUUUGGGGGACCUUUACAGAACAUUCAGAAUGUUUAGGGGACCAUACUUUUUUGGAAAUUGUGACGUUCUCAGAAUAACGUUCUCAUAACAUCCUUGGCGGUGUUAAGGACGUUGUUUAGUAACAUUCCCAGAACGUUCUGAGAAGGUCACGAUGUUGAGUUUUUUAAAGGUGUGGGGGACGUUAUUUUGGGGACCUUCACAGAAUGUUAUUUUCUUGUCCUGAAUGUUAGAGACAGAAAGAGCUCAAUCAAUAAAAUGUUACUAAAAUUGGCUUUAUUGGCAGAAAACAUAAAUCAUUUGUCAAACAAUUAAAUUUUUAAU
Molecule: long non-coding RNA, 357 nt
Filed under: Danio rerio (zebrafish)
Lineage: Eukaryota; Metazoa; Chordata; Actinopteri; Cypriniformes; Danionidae
Description: long non-coding RNA NONDRET014560
Source: RNAcentral